This 73-nucleotide transfer RNA is filed under the name Bos taurus (domestic cattle). It matches the Rfam family "tRNA". Rfam says of the family: Transfer RNA (tRNA) molecules are approximately 80 nucleotides in length. Their secondary structure includes four short double-helical elements and three loops (D, anti-codon, and T loops). Further hydrogen bonds mediate the characteristic L-shaped molecular structure. tRNAs have two regions of fundamental functional importance: the anti-codon, which is responsible for specific mRNA codon recognition, and the 3' end, to which the tRNAs corresponding amino acid is attached (by aminoacyl-tRNA synthetases). tRNAs cope with the degeneracy of the genetic code in two manners: having more than one tRNA (with a specific anti-codon) for a particular amino acid; and 'wobble' base-pairing, i.e. permitting non-standard base-pairing at the 3rd anti-codon position. RNAcentral also lists the same sequence under 4 other names. The record is from Rfam by way of RNAcentral. Lineage: Eukaryota; Metazoa; Chordata; Mammalia; Artiodactyla; Bovidae.
UCCCUGGUGGUCCAGUGGCUAAGACUCUGCGCUUCCAAUUCAGGGUGCCUAGGUUCAAUCCCCGGUCAGGGAA